UGGGCUAGACAACAUCAGACAGUCCUAGAGAUAGGAUCUUCCCUUCGGGGACUGGUGGUUCAGGUGCUGCAUGGCUGUCGUCAGCUCGUGUCGUGAGAUGUUGGGUUAAGUCCCGCAACGAGCGCAACCCUUGCCUUUAGUUGCCAUCAGGUAAAGCUGGGCACUCUAAAGGGACUGCCGGCGUUAAGCAGGAGGAAGGUGGGGAUGACGUCAAGUCCUCAUGGCCCUUAUGU
This 233-nucleotide ribosomal RNA is filed under the name uncultured bacterium. RNAcentral describes it as "partial 16S ribosomal RNA". It matches the Rfam family "Bacterial small subunit ribosomal RNA", at positions 976 to 1207 of the family's 1533-position model. The record is from RNAcentral.